This 62-nucleotide transfer RNA is filed under the name Ictidomys tridecemlineatus (thirteen-lined ground squirrel). Its description in RNAcentral is "Spermophilus tridecemlineatus (thirteen-lined ground squirrel) tRNA". Lineage: Eukaryota; Metazoa; Chordata; Mammalia; Rodentia; Sciuridae. The record is from Rfam by way of RNAcentral.
UGUAGCUUAGGGAUGAAGCACUUGCCUAACAUGCAUGAGGCCCGGGGUUUGAUUCCCCAGCA